ACGGGAGGCAGCAGUGGGGGAUAUUGCACAAUGGAGGAAACUCUGAUGCAGCAACGCCGCGUGAGGGAAGAAGGAUUUCGGUUUGUAAACCUCUGUCUUCGGUGACGAUAAUGACGGUAGCCGAGGAGGAAGCUCCGGCUAACUACGUGCCAGCAGCCGCGGUAAUACGUAGGGAGCAAGCGUUGUCCGGAAUUACUGGGUGUAAAGGGUGCGUAGGCGGGAUUGCAAGUCAGGUGUGAAAACGGUCGGCUUAACCGAUCGCCUGCAUUUGAAACUGUGAUUCUUGAGUGAAGUAGAGGUAGGCGGAAUUCCCGGUGUAGCGGUGAAAUGCGUAGAGAUCGGGAGGAACACCAGUGGCGAAGGCGGCCUACUGGGCUUUAACUGACGCUGAGGCACGAAAGCAUGGGUAGCAAACAGGAUUAGAUACCCUGGUA
RNAcentral lists this ribosomal RNA (434 nucleotides) under uncultured Ruminococcus sp. Its description in RNAcentral is "partial 16S ribosomal RNA". It matches the Rfam family "Bacterial small subunit ribosomal RNA", at positions 341 to 792 of the family's 1533-position model. The record is from RNAcentral. Lineage: Bacteria; Bacillati; Bacillota; Clostridia; Eubacteriales; Oscillospiraceae.